AAGGGGAAGAAAAAGUGGAAACAGGUUUCCGGGGGGGGACCCGGGGGAGGGAUCUUCCCCAAAAAAUAUUUUUUCCUUAAAAAGUUUUUUUCUUUUGUGGGGGUUUGGCCCUUAUGUAUUUUGGGGAUUAAACCAUGAUCCCCUUUCGGGGGUUUGGUCCCCAAAACCAAUAUUUCUCCUUUUAAAAAACUUACUGAACUAAACAAUUGAUUUAAUAAUCUGUUUAAAACAACUUUCAACAACGGAUCUCUUGGUUCUCGCAUCGAUGAAGAACGCAGCGAAAUGCGAUACGUAAUGUGAAUUGCAGAAUUCAGUGAAUCAUCGAAUCUUUGAACGCCCAUUGCACUCCUUGGUAUUCCGAGGAGUAUGCCUGUUUCAGUAUCAUGAGCACUCUCACACCUAACCUUUGGGUUAUGAUGUGGAAUUGGGAUGCGCCGAUUUUUACUAGUCGGCACUCCUAAAAUGUAGCUCUUGGCUGUUUCCUACUACAGCAGUUUGGCCUAAUAGUUUUGACUUUUGUCAAAUCUUUGGCUACAUUUGCUUCUGGAAAUCAGUCUUGAUAAUCCAAGAAAACUCAAUUCAAACUUUGAUCUGAAAUC
RNAcentral lists this ribosomal RNA (599 nucleotides) under Umbelopsis sp. I376. Its description in RNAcentral is "eukaryotic LSU rRNA". The stretch from base 231 to 384 matches the Rfam family "5.8S ribosomal RNA". The record is from RNAcentral. Lineage: Eukaryota; Fungi; Mucoromycota; Umbelopsidomycetes; Umbelopsidales; Umbelopsidaceae.